This 392-nucleotide ribosomal RNA is filed under the name uncultured bacterium. RNAcentral's name for it is "partial 16S ribosomal RNA". It matches the Rfam family "Bacterial small subunit ribosomal RNA", at positions 523 to 918 of the family's 1533-position model. The record is from RNAcentral.
AUACGGAGGAUCCGAGCGUUAUCCGGAUUUAUUGGGUUUAAAGGGUGCGCAGGCGGCCAUUUAAGUCAGCGGUUAAAUCGUGGGGCUCAACCCCAUUCUGCCGUUGAUACUGGGUGGCUUGAUUGCGGUCGAGGUUGGCGGAAUUCGUUGUGUAGCGGUGAAAUGCAUAGAUAUGACGAAGAACACCGAUUGCGUAGGCAGCUGACCAGACCGCAAAUGACGCUCAUGCACGAAAGUGCGAGGAUCGAACAGGAUUAGAUACCCUGGUAGUCCGCACAGUAAACGAUGAAUACUUGUUUUCGGCGAUAUAAUGUCGGAGGCAAAGCGAAAGCGAUAAGUAUUCCACCUGGGGAGUACGCCGGCAACGGUGAAACUCAAAGGAAUUGACGGGG